RNAcentral lists this ribosomal RNA (427 nucleotides) under uncultured prokaryote. Its description in RNAcentral is "bacterial SSU rRNA". It matches the Rfam family "Bacterial small subunit ribosomal RNA", at positions 355 to 774 of the family's 1533-position model. The record is from RNAcentral.
UGGGGAAUUUUGCGCAAUGGGCGAAAGCCUGACGCAGCAACGCCGCGUGGGUGAUGAAGGUCUUCGGAUCGUAAAACCCUGUCGUCAGGGACGAAGGUCGGGUCGUGAAUAGCGGUUCGGCUUGACGGUACCUGGAGAGGAAGCCCCGGCUAACUCUGUGCCAGCAGCCGCGGUAAUACAGAGGGGGCAAGCGUUAUUCGGAAUUAUUGGGCGUAAAGGGCGCGUAGGCGGUUUUUUAAGUGAGAUGUGCAAUCCCCGAGCUUAACUUGGGAACUGCAUCUCAGACUGGAAGGCUAGAGUACUGGAGAGGGUGGUAGAAUUCCACGUGUAGCGGUGAAAUGCGUAGAGAUGUGGAGGAAUACCAGUGGCGAAGGCGGCCACCUGGACAGUAACUGACGCUGAGGCGCGAAAGUGUGGGUAGCAAACA